UGGGGAAUAUUGGACAAUGGGCGGAAGCCUGAUCCAGCCAUGCCGCGUGUGUGAAGAAGGCCUUUUGGUUGUAAAGCACUUUAAGCGAGGAGGAGGCUACUAGUACUAAUACUACUGGAUAGUGGACGUUACUCGCAGAAUAAGCACCGGCUAACUCUGUGCCAGCAGCCGCGGUAAUACAGAGGGUGCGAGCGUUAAUCGGAUUUACUGGGCGUAAAGCGUGCGUAGGCGGCUGAUUAAGUCGGAUGUGAAAUCCCUGAGCUUAACUUAGGAAUUGCAUUCGUUACUGGUCAGCUAGAGUAUGGGAGAGGAUGGUAGAAUUCCAGGUGUAGCGGUGAAAUGCGUAGAGAUCUGGAGGAAUACCGAUGGCGAAGGCAGCCAUCUGGCCUAAUACUGACGCUGAGGUACGAAAGCAUGGGGAGCAAACAGG
RNAcentral lists this ribosomal RNA (430 nucleotides) under Pseudomonadota bacterium. RNAcentral's name for it is "Proteobacteria bacterium partial 16S ribosomal RNA". It matches the Rfam family "Bacterial small subunit ribosomal RNA", at positions 355 to 776 of the family's 1533-position model. The record is from RNAcentral. Lineage: Bacteria; Pseudomonadati; Pseudomonadota.